GUGGGGAAUAUUGCACAAUGGGGGAAACCCUGAUGCAGCGACGCCGCGUGAGUGAGGAAGUAUUUCGGUAUGUAAAGCUCUAUCAGCAGGGAAGAAAAUGACGGUACCUGACUAAGAAGCCCCGGCUAACUACGUGCCAGCAGCCGCGGUAAUACGUAGGGGGCAAGCGUUAUCCGGAUUUACUGGGUGUAAAGGGAGCGUAGACGGAGCAGCAAGUCUGAUGUGAAAAUCCGGGGCCCAACCCCGGAAGUGCAUUGGAAACUGUUGAUCUAGAGUGUCGGAGAGGCAAGUGGAAUUCCUGGUGUAGCGGUGAAAUGCGUAGAUAUCAGGAGGAACACCAGUGGCGAAGGCGGCUUGCUGGACGAUGACUGACGUUGAGGCUCGAAAGCGUGGGGAGCAAACAGG
This 405-nucleotide ribosomal RNA is filed under the name uncultured bacterium. RNAcentral describes it as "bacterial SSU rRNA". It matches the Rfam family "Bacterial small subunit ribosomal RNA", at positions 354 to 776 of the family's 1533-position model. The record is from RNAcentral.